Molecule: long non-coding RNA, 2373 nt
Organism: Jaculus jaculus (lesser Egyptian jerboa)
Lineage: Eukaryota; Metazoa; Chordata; Mammalia; Rodentia; Dipodidae
Exons: 3
Source: RefSeq, a predicted model, not a curated record
GUGGAACCUUCCGACAACCUCCAGCUUCCGCCAACCUCCAGCUUCCGCCCUGGCAACGCCUGGCCCUUCCUUCUCCUCUGAGCCAGCAUCAGAGGUCACGGGGCUGCACGCAGUAAACAGGAAUUUGUGCAGAGCCAGCUCUACAUCCCACCAUGGCAAAUGGGAAGCUGAGGGGGUAAAUGCUGCCUGAGAUGACGGUGUUUCCAGAAACCCUAGCUGUGCUUCUUUGGCCUAGCAGCUUUGAAAAAGCUCUGUCCUCGCAUCCUGGGCAGCCAGAUCCACCAAGGCCCUCGGAAGGACCAGGCGGGGUUUCCGAGGUGAUGCUCACGGACAUCUUGGAUGACACUGGUUACCACUGCUGGGGAAAAGCACAUCUUCAGCUGGCCGGGCUGGCCGCGGGCUGUGCCUCCCCCGAGCCGGGUGGGUUGUUCAGCGCCACAGUGACAUAGCUGCCUUUCAGUCACCCAGGCUCCCGCAAGUAACCCCUCACCCGUCCUUCUGCCAAGUAACCCCAGUAAACUCCCCAGUUCACUAAGCAAGACUUGGGCGGGACAGCUUCUUUGGUCUGCUAUGGUGCCCUACCUGGGGUCAACAGACAGCAAAGGUUAUGCAACACUGACAAAUAGAAGCACAGCCACAAAUGUUCUGCGCAACCAUUUAUACACAUGUGUGUGAAUUUCAAGUACAAGGUUACCAAGCACUGAUCAAUUCAUGGACACUAACUGCGAAGAGAACAAUAAAGCCUGAAACCUGAAAGGCCAAGUCUGACUGAGCCAAGCCCCCAGCCUCUGCCCCGCGCCUGCUGUGGGGCUGGGGGGGGCCACACUAGGCUCCCCGCAGCCCUCUCUGGCUCAAGAGGACACAGUGGCAAAACCUAGUGCCAGCGACCAUGGGAGAAAACAAGGGAGCCGGAGCAUCACUUGUUCCUUCACGAAGGCAAAGAGACGAAGAAACUAGCAGUCUCCUCUCCCAGAGCAAGGAUGGUGAGCUCUGCUGUCUUGGUCCCUAACUUCUGCUCCCUGACACAGGCUCCUCGAAAACCCACAGCCCUGUAAUGGGGAGGUGGAGCAGAGAGCCACAGAAAACUGUGUGCCCACAAACGAAGUCAUCUCGCGGGAAAGGAAGACUGACUGGAGGGUCGCAAACUGCCAAGAACAGACUCAAGAAGAAACUGAAGGUAUAAAUAGACUAGAAACCAAGAAAAAGACCAAUAAAUCAAAAAGUUCCCAUACAAAAAGCCCAGGACCAGAGGGCCGCUUUGACUAAGUAUUAUUCUUUCAAAAGAUGCUGCGUAUUUCUUUUCAUUUCUGUCUUUGAACACUUCCCCUGGGCUGAGGAUGGAGCUCAGUGGGCAGAAUGUUUGCCCAGCAGGUACGAAGCCCCGGGUUCCAUCCCCAGCACCACACGAAACUGGGCGUGGCGACACAGGCCUGUGAUCACAGCCCUUGAGAGGUAGAGGCAGGAGGACCAGAAAUUCAAGGUCAUUCUUGCCUACAUGAGGCUAGCCUGGGCUAUAUGAGACCCCAUCUCAAACAAAACAAUGCCCCUGCUCCAAUCUCUUUGAAUACGCCACUGUUCUAUUUUCAAGUGAAUAUCAUUGUUCUUUUCUCUCCCCCUCCCAACAAACAUACAAAAAAAUUUUCAAAUUCAACACCAAAAAGACAAUCCAGGUUAAAAAUGGACAAAGGGGGCUGGAGAGAAGGCUUAGGGGUUAAGGUGUAUGCCUGCAAAGCCUAAGGACCCAGGUUUGAUUCUCCAGGUCCCAUGUAAGCCAGAUGCCCAUGGUGGUGCGUGCAUCUGGAGUUCGUUUGCAGGAGGGGGAGGCCCUGGCGCGCCCGUUCUCACUCUGUCUCUCUCCAGCACGUCUAGCAGUGAUCAGUGGACCCCGGCAGUGGCAGUGUGAAAGGCUUGAAGAGUGAAGACGGGGGAAUAUCUCCACUGAAGAAACUCUCUGACAGACACUGAAAACCACUUCAGAGGACAGCAAUUGACUCCAACCAGUAAAUCAUUGUCUAUGCUUUGCUCAGAGAAGUUUUGAGUCAAUCAGAACACCUUAAUUAAAAUAAUAAGAUGAACAUUUACCAUUAGGGAACUGAGGAGCAGAACCAGAGUGUGUCAGCAUUCCACAGCCACCAACGGAGAUGGUGAGGAACUGGAGCCCUUGUACGUUGCAGGUAUAAAAUCGCACCAUCACAAAUGCACAGUUAUAUAGUUAGUUGGAAAACAGCUUAGCAAUAUCUCAAAAGGUUUAACAUGAGCUUAUCAUAUGACCCAGAAAUUCCAGCUCAGGAUAUGCUCAAAAAAUGAGAAAAUUUUAAAAAAAGAAAAUGUAUGUUCCUACAAAACUUAUAGAUUCAUGGGGAGGUAAUAUGA